RNAcentral lists this ribosomal RNA (465 nucleotides) under uncultured bacterium. RNAcentral describes it as "partial 16S ribosomal RNA". It matches the Rfam family "Bacterial small subunit ribosomal RNA", at positions 28 to 507 of the family's 1533-position model. The record is from RNAcentral.
GACGAACGCUGGCGGCGUGCUUAACACAUGCAAGUCGAACGGAAAGGCCCUCCUUGCAGGGUACUCGAGUGGCGAACGGGUGAGUAACACGUGGGUGAUCUGCCCUGCACUUCGGGAUAAGCCUGGGAAACUGGGUCUAAUACCGGAUAGGAGCCAUUUUUAGUGUGAUGGUUGGAAAGUUUUUUCGGUGUAGGAUGAGCUCGCGGCCUAUCAGCUUGUUGGUGGGGUAAUGGCCUACCAAGGCGGCGACGGGUAGCCGGCCUGAGAGGGUGGACGGCCACAUUGGGACUGAGAUACGGCCCAGACUCCUACGGGAGGCAGCAGUGGGGAAUAUUGCACAAUGGGCGCAAGCCUGAUGCAGCGACGCCGCGUGGGGGAUGACGGCCUUCGGGUUGUAAACUCCUUUCGCUAGGGACGAAGCUUUUUGUGACGGUACCUAGAUAAGAAGCACCGGCUAACUACGUG